RNAcentral lists this long non-coding RNA (1177 nucleotides) under Equus caballus (horse). RNAcentral describes it as "lncRNA (ENSECAG00000052830.1)". The record is from RNAcentral. Lineage: Eukaryota; Metazoa; Chordata; Mammalia; Perissodactyla; Equidae.
GUCUAAUUGUCCUCAUUUGGACCAGAAUCAUUCUAACAUGCAAAGGCACGUUGCCCUGCCUUCCAAAACAGAGGAUGUUGGAAAGAGUUUACCUCUUCUUGAAGAAUCGGGUCAGCUUUAUGCACAGAGCUGGACCAGGGACGCAGGGCUGGGAGCCCUCGUACACGGCGGGGCCCCAGGCCUCUGGGCUUCGUGCUGGGGCUGCUUUUGUUGCUAUCUCUGACCAUCCUCACCACUCACCCCAUCGCCUCUUUCCCAUUUGCUGUGAGCAGAGGAUCCAAAUUGCCAAAUUUUUAUUAGAAUGACAUCAAAUAAAAGAGUAAGGAGGCUAUAAUGGGUUGAAUAAUGUCCCCUAAAAAUUGAUGUCCACCUGGAACCACAGAUGGCAACCUUAUUUGGAAAUCGAGUCUUUGCAGAAAAAAAUUGGUUGAGGAUCUCAGGAUGAAGUCAGCCUGGAUUUAGAAUGAGCCCUAAGUCCAAUGCCCAGUGUCCUUCUAAGAAGAGGAGAAGACACAUGGAGAAGGCCGGGUGAUCAGAGCGGCAGAGAGCAGAGUCAAGCUGUGACAAGCCAAGAGCACCGAGGACUGCCACCGGCCACAAGUAGGAGACAGUCAUGCCACACCUUCUCCCCGAAGCCUUCAGAGGGAGCACGGCCUGCUGACACCUUGACUUUGUACUUCUGGCCCCCAGAACUGAGAGAGGACACAGUUCUGCUGUUUUAGUCCCCAUGGUGUGUGGUCAUUUGUUAUGAUGCUUCCUCUAUUUUCUGUGAGACGCCGCCACAGUGUGGCUUGAUGAGCAGUGCUAGGUCCACGCCCGGGAUCCAGGCCUGUGAACCCCGGACCACUAAAGCGGAGCGUGCAAACUUAAUCACUACACCACCGGGCCAGCCCCUCAUGUGCAUUUUUUAAGUAGCCUGUUACCUGUAAGGAGACCGAAGCUUAGCAGGUGGAGCACCUGCUCAAGGGCGCAUAGCUGGAGGUGGGCUGGAGCGGGGCUGGGUCUGUGUCUCGGGUGCGUCUGUUCCUGCUGCAUUCCUCCCCGCUCUGGCCUGUGAGCUCUGGGAGGGCAGAAAUGGGGCUCCUUCGUCCGGUCCCCCAGGCCUAGCAUGGAGCCUUCACGGAAUAUGUUCUGUAUAAAUGGUGCUCCGGUUGCAUCGAAGGGACUUGAAAUAGGC